GACGAACGCUGGCGGCGUGCUUAACACAUGCAAGUCGAACGAAGAGCGAUGGAAGCUUGCUUCUAUCAAUCUUAGUGGCGAACGGGUGAGUAACGCGUAAUCAACCUGCCCUUCAGAGGGGGACAACAGUUGGAAACGACUGCUAAUACCGCAUACGAUCUAAUCUCGGCAUCGAGGAUAGAUGAAAGGUGGCCUCUACAUGUAAGCUAUCACUGAAGGAGGGGAUUGCGUCUGAUUAGCUAGUUGGAGGGGUAACGGCCCACCAAGGCGAUGGUCAGUAGCCGGUCGGAGAGGAUGAACGGCCACAUUGGGACUGAGACACGGCCCAGACUCCUACGGGAGGCAGCAGUGGGGAAUCUUCCGCAAUGGACGAAAGUCUGACGGAGCAACGCCGCGUGAGGGAUGACGGCCUUCGGGUUGUAAAGCUCUGUUAAUCGGGACGAAAGGCCUUCUUGCGAAUAGUGAGAAGGAUUGACGGUACCGGAAUAGAAAGCCACGGCUAACUACGUG
This 510-nucleotide ribosomal RNA is filed under the name uncultured bacterium. Its description in RNAcentral is "partial 16S ribosomal RNA". It matches the Rfam family "Bacterial small subunit ribosomal RNA", at positions 28 to 507 of the family's 1533-position model. The record is from RNAcentral.